UUUAAAAAACUGAGCUAACCCCAAGUGGGCUGAAGCUUACUGAAUAUUUUGACUAUCAUUUUGCCCCCAAACUGUGCCUCCACAAGCAUCUUGUUUCCCGAUAUGAAACAUGUUGAAAUAUUUACCAGGCUGUUGUUGUUAGCCACACAACUGUGUUGUCACUCAGCCAGGUUGUGUCUUGGUGAAUAAUGGAUGUUGUGUGCUUGUUGCUGGCUGCUCAUCUGCUGCACAGAGCUGUGAUGUGUAGUUACUUUAAUCCGCUUAAUGCUUAUUGAGCCUUACUUAACGCAGCUCUUACAGCUGAAUGUUACAGAUGCAUUUAAAACAACAAAGGGCCAUCGCUUGGUGUAUCCUGGUCUGGACCCUUGGGUAUUGUUUUGUGUCUAACAUAUUGGAUUUAAAGGUUGCUUGUGUGGAUGCAAGAAUCAGCUUGUAGUGAAGGUAGCCUGCAGACCUGUGGACUGGAAGACCCCGGGGUUGCACUGGCAAUAGCGUGACGCAAAGGCCUCCAUCAUGCGGUCGAUCUUCUGAGCUUCACCCGGCAAACGGAAACUCCACAGGAACUGCCUUUUGGUUGAGCUGACCGUAGCGCCUGGACGAGGUUGAGGUCUGCAAACUCAUGCAGCUCCACAAAAGCCUGGAGCACCUUGAUGUUAAAGUCAUCCCUGGUGAACAAAAGGACGUCAGCAACAAGAAGAUAGUCCACAUGAAACCAAGUAAACAGGUGUUGAAACGGGCCUUGUGUCUUUCCUCAGCAUUCCUGUCAUGAUUGCUAAUUUAUUCACACAAGAUGCUGAGAGGUGGCGUCUGGAAGCAGCUGGCUAGUGCUGAGCGUUUCCAGCCCCUUGAGGCAUUAGUGCAUGCGUCUGACUGGAGAAAAACAUCUAAACCCAAAACCACACACUCACUUUGGUUUGUUGGGUUGAAACCUGUCCUCUAGGUCCACCAUCCACCAUCGUGACCCAAACAUUUUUGUCUUACAAGCGAAGUUCUGAUACAAUAACACACUGCGGGUCUUUGUUGCUCAUAAAAAUGGCUGCAGCCAAAUAAAACGAACCCUUCCCUUUGAGGGUUUCUGCAGAAAAAAACUGUACUGUAAGCCCAAAGAACCAUGCAUAAUGGUAACAGUGAUGAUGCAUGUGUGAUGACCCACCACUAGGGGUGUCACAAGCUCUCACGAGAUUUUUCAUUCGGAAAAAAACUGCCUUGUGGGCACUAGGCCCGGGACGAUAAUGAAUACAUGAAUUAAUCACACAACAAAUGAAAAUGAACUUGAUAUUUUUGCCCCAAUAUAUUGCCAUGUGCAUGUGUGUCUGCUUUCCUCGUCUCUCUCGCCUCCAAACAGGCAGGAAGAGGAUUCACUGGUGGUUUCAGCAAAUUGGUGCGUUUGCUCCAUAGAACAACGGCAUGAAUGGAGUAGUCCCCGAUGACGGUCUUGUUGAGACCCUCGCCUUUAUAGAGGAACUGGGCGAUGUCUUCUGGAGUGUGCUGAAGGAGGUCGUUCUCCAGCAGGAACUGGAUGCCCUAGAGGGCAGGAAAAGGAAGGGGCAGCAGCUUAAGCAGGGAAGCCAAGACUUCACUCUCUCCGACUAUGUCGUCCAGCUCCUCCUGGUGGAUCCCGAGGCAUUGCCAGGCCAGUUGAGAGACAUAGUCCCUCAGCAUGUCCUGGGUCUUCCCCAAGUCCUCCUGAUGGUCGGACAUGCUCAUGGAGGUGUCCAGGAGGCAUCAUGACUAGGUGCCUGAGGUCUCUACCCAAACUCAUGACCAUAGACCGAUGCAGAGUCCGCAUCACUGCAGAUGCUGCACCAACCUGCCUGACGAUGUCGCGUUCCAUCCUUCCCUCACUCGUGAACAAGACCCCGAGGUACUUGAACUCCUCCACUUUGGGCAGGACUUCAUUCCCGACCCGGAGAUGGCACUCCACCCUUUUCUGGGCGAGAACCUUGGACUCGGACUUGGAGGUGCUGAUUCUAAUGUGAUAGAGAAGGUGAGAAACACUAUUGAAUUCGAUCUCACCAGGAUGUACGGGAAGUCCGCAUCAACAAUAAAUUCUAACCAUUGAUCAUUUAGAACUGUUUUCUGCAUGUAGAACUAAUUAUUCUGUAUAAAAUUUAUUUUAUUAAUACUUUUUGAUGUCUGGCAUGGAUUAAUUGGACUUAUUUCCUAUGGAAAAAAUGGCCUCGGUUUCUGUACUUUUUGGUUUUCGUUGGACCUUUUAUAACAAAUGAAUAACAACAACAUAGGUACUACUGUAAUAUAAUAAUUGCAGUAUAGCUUCUUAAGGGACAAUAAAAAUGAAACGAUCCUCACAGCCACAUCAAUUCAACAGGGAAUCAAACAGCACAACACUAUACAGUACAACGUGAAAGGCCGUCUUUGGGAUUACUCAUAGGGAGAUGAUGCACAAAGAACAGGCAACCCUGAGCGUCUCAUAUGCCCCAGGCCUUACAUUAGCUAAUGAGCUAAUGUCUGCUAGCUGCAUCAAUGUGCAUGAUUACAAUCUUUCC
This is a long non-coding RNA of Dunckerocampus dactyliophorus (ringed pipefish), 2507 nucleotides long. RefSeq lists it as uncharacterized. The record is from RefSeq and is a predicted model, not a curated record. The transcript is spliced from 5 exons. NCBI's taxonomy places the organism in Eukaryota, Metazoa, Chordata, Actinopteri, Syngnathiformes, Syngnathidae.